RNAcentral lists this long non-coding RNA (698 nucleotides) under Pogona vitticeps (central bearded dragon). RNAcentral describes it as "lncRNA (ENSPVIG00000005232.1)". The record is from RNAcentral. Lineage: Eukaryota; Metazoa; Chordata; Lepidosauria; Squamata; Agamidae.
AACAGUGCUGUGAAGAGUGGCUCAUGGUAGUGAACAGCCCUCGACACGCUGGACGGGCAUUUUCUUCAGAAAACGCUGACUGUGCAGCAAGACAGCUUGCGCCAGCAUCUCCUCAAACCUUGGAUUUUGCCAGGAAGCCGUAAGAAUGAAUGAUGCACCGUUGACAAACCCAUGCCAAAUUGCAAGAAAGCCCCGGGUCUUCUGAGCCACAGCCCUGGCCGAGGACGCGGCGUGUCUCUGGGAGGGCAGCAAAAAAAGUCUACAAAUCAAACGGGGGAGACGUGAGAAGAGAGGGGGGCUGGAUUAAGAACGGGGCGUCGGUGGGCGCCGCUCUGUCUGUCCCAGGGUCCUGGAAGCAAACUCACCUGGACAGCUGGACCCUCCUAAAUCCCGUCUCUCCUUCCCCUUCCUCCUCCCCCCCCCAACCCCUUCUCGCCUGUCCGCCCAUCUGUGGAUUAUUAGGAUUAAUACCUGCGCCGGGAGUACUUCUGACGAGUGCGCUGGAGGAUCGUUUUAGGGUAUUUACGGCUCUUUCUUCGGGCUAAACUCGAGGCUCUCAGAUUUCCUGAAACCAAUAUUUUAUUUAUUUAUUUAUUUUUAUUUAUUUUAUUUAUAUCCCACCUAUCUGGUCGUGUCAGGACCACUCUAGGCGGCUAACAACAUUAAAAAAUAAUACAAUAAAUAUACGUAUAAAGACA